UCAGGAAAGCUGCUAAGCAAGGAGAUAAGUGUGCGUUGGAUUUUCUGGGUUCCAUGUGAUAAUUUCAAUCUUCAGAAUUUAAAAAAUUAAAAUGGCAGUAAUAUCUAAUAUCUA
RNAcentral lists this non-coding RNA (114 nucleotides) under Octactis speculum. Lineage: Eukaryota; Dictyochophyceae; Dictyochales; Dictyochaceae. The record is from RNAcentral.